This 460-nucleotide ribosomal RNA is filed under the name uncultured bacterium. Its description in RNAcentral is "partial 16S ribosomal RNA". It matches the Rfam family "Bacterial small subunit ribosomal RNA", at positions 338 to 795 of the family's 1533-position model. The record is from RNAcentral.
CCUACGGGUGGCUGCAGUGCGGAAUAUUGGUCAAUGGACGAGAGUCUGAACCAGCCAAGUAGCGUGAAGGCUGACUGCCCUAUGGGUUGUCCCCUUCUUUUCUCUGGGAAUAAAAUGUUCCACGUGUGGGAUUUUGUAUGUACCAUAGGAAUAAGGAUCGGCUAACUCCGUUCCAGCAGCCGCGGUAAUACGGAGGAUGCGAGCGUUAUCCGGAUUUAUUGGGUUUAAAGGGAGCGUAGGUGGAUUGUUAAGUCAGUUGUGAAAGUAUGCGGGUCCACCGUCAGCUAGCAGUUGCAACUGGCAGUCUUGAGUACAGUAGAGGUGGGCGGAAUUCGUGGUGUAGCGGUGAAAUGCUUAGAUAUCACGAAGAACUCCGAUUGCGAAGGCAGCUCACUGGACUGCAACUGACACUGAGGCUCGAAAGUGUGGGUAUCAAACAGGAUUAGAUACCCUUGUAGUC